CCUACGGGAGGCAGCAGUGGGGAAUAUUGGACAAUGGGCGCAAGCCUGAUCCAGCCAUGCCGCGUGAGUGAUGAAGGCCCUAGGGUUGUAAAGCUCUUUCAGCGAGGAGGAUAAUGACGUACUC
RNAcentral lists this ribosomal RNA (124 nucleotides) under uncultured bacterium. RNAcentral's name for it is "partial 16S ribosomal RNA". It matches the Rfam family "Bacterial small subunit ribosomal RNA", at positions 338 to 461 of the family's 1533-position model. The record is from RNAcentral.